RNAcentral lists this transfer RNA (86 nucleotides) under Tulasnella sp. JGI-2019a. It matches the Rfam family "tRNA". From Rfam's summary of the family: Transfer RNA (tRNA) molecules are approximately 80 nucleotides in length. Their secondary structure includes four short double-helical elements and three loops (D, anti-codon, and T loops). Further hydrogen bonds mediate the characteristic L-shaped molecular structure. tRNAs have two regions of fundamental functional importance: the anti-codon, which is responsible for specific mRNA codon recognition, and the 3' end, to which the tRNAs corresponding amino acid is attached (by aminoacyl-tRNA synthetases). tRNAs cope with the degeneracy of the genetic code in two manners: having more than one tRNA (with a specific anti-codon) for a particular amino acid; and 'wobble' base-pairing, i.e. permitting non-standard base-pairing at the 3rd anti-codon position. The record is from Rfam by way of RNAcentral. Lineage: Eukaryota; Fungi; Basidiomycota; Agaricomycetes; Cantharellales; Tulasnellaceae.
GACUUCAUCGCUUAGUGGUUAGAGCAGCUCGUUGUGGACCAUAACAUGGUACCGAGCAGACGCGUGUUCGAUUCACGCUGAGGUCA